CAACUUUUAGCAACGGAUCUCUUGGCUCUCCCAUCGAUGAAGAACGCGGCGAAAUGCGAUAAGUAAUGUGAAUUGCAGAAUUCAGUGAAUCAUCGAAUCUUUGAACGCACCUUGCGCCCUCUGGUAUUCCGGAGGGCAUGCCUGUUUGAGUGUCAUUA
RNAcentral lists this ribosomal RNA (158 nucleotides) under fungal sp. 4.10.3C. RNAcentral describes it as "5.8S ribosomal RNA". It matches the Rfam family "5.8S ribosomal RNA". From Rfam's summary of the family: 5.8S ribosomal RNA (5.8S rRNA) is a component of the large subunit of the eukaryotic ribosome. Lineage: Eukaryota; Fungi. The record is from RNAcentral.